RNAcentral lists this long non-coding RNA (699 nucleotides) under Olea europaea (common olive). RNAcentral's name for it is "long non-coding RNA (OEUR_LNC010832)". Lineage: Eukaryota; Viridiplantae; Streptophyta; Magnoliopsida; Lamiales; Oleaceae. The record is from RNAcentral.
AUUUAUUCUCUUCUUGUUUUUGUUCAUGAGAUUUCAUUUAUUCUUGAAUUGCAGACUGUCUAUGGAUGGCCCUGAUCUAGUCAUGUUUCAUAAGAGAUUGACGAAUAACACGACACAGUGUGAUGAUUGAUUUGUUCGUGAGAUGAAAUGCUUGUUAUGGAUGCAAAAUACCAGUCAUCUUAGAUAAAUAUUUUAUUUGUUGCAAUUAGUUUUAUCUUGGUCUUGAUGAGGCAAUUUCGACUUUCAAAUAUGUUUAGAUGAAUAGGAAGUUCAAAUGAGUAGCAUUGCUACGGAAACUGCACUUUUGCACUCAUUGCUAUUAGAUCAUUUUAAUUUAGAACCCUUUGAGUGAGAUUUCGAGGAGAGUUAAGUAAAUUUGAGGUCUGAUUUGUAUAUGACAUGAGAUUUAUUCAUUGCUAAGAACCGUUUCAAAGUUUAUGUGCAAAGUCCGGGCCAAUUAAGUCGUGCAAAUCCAAUCUGGUUUCACAUUCGAGUAGAAAACGCUGAAAUUUUGUCAACGACGGUCAAUAACAUCCCAAUGUAAGGCAAUUAAUUACUAGAGCAAUAGAACAACAAACCAAGAGCUUGUUUGAGAAGUGUUUAUAAAUAUAUAGAAAUGAACGAGUACUUUUGAAUUUCACGAAAUGUGGAUACAAAUUAAUUUGAUCCUUUUUAAUUGUUUACCAAACAUAUGCCAAG